Molecule: unclassified non-coding RNA, 329 nt
Filed under: plant metagenome
Description: partial contains 5.8S ribosomal RNA, internal transcribed spacer 2, and large subunit ribosomal RNA
Rfam family: 5.8S ribosomal RNA (bases 1-105)
Source: RNAcentral
GAAAUGCGAUAAGUAAUGUGAAUUGCAGAAUUCCGUGAAUCAUCGAAUCUUUGAACGCACAUUGCGCCCUCUGGUAUUCCGGGGGGCAUGCCUGUCCGAGCGUCAUUGCGAACCCCUCAAGCACGGCUUGUGUGAUGGGCCCUCCCGCGUCUUGGUCGUCAAGACGGGCCCGAAAUGCAGUGGCGGCUUCGCGGUUAUCCGAUCAGCCAGAGCGUAUGGGGACUUUCUCUCUGUCACACGCCCGCGGCGCGGACCGACGCCUGUCGACCUUCAUUCAUCGUUUUCUCGGUUGACCUCGGAUCAGAUAGGGAUACCCGCUGAACUUAAGC